UGCCCCGUAGUUCAGUGGUAGAAUAAUUGACUGUUAAUUAAGAGGUCGUAGGUUCGAACCCUACCGGGGCAGCUA
This 75-nucleotide transfer RNA is filed under the name Lactobacillus sp. Its description in RNAcentral is "tRNA-Asn". It matches the Rfam family "tRNA". From Rfam's summary of the family: Transfer RNA (tRNA) molecules are approximately 80 nucleotides in length. Lineage: Bacteria; Bacillati; Bacillota; Bacilli; Lactobacillales; Lactobacillaceae. The record is from RNAcentral.